RNAcentral lists this ribosomal RNA (253 nucleotides) under uncultured bacterium. RNAcentral's name for it is "partial 16S ribosomal RNA". It matches the Rfam family "Bacterial small subunit ribosomal RNA", at positions 524 to 776 of the family's 1533-position model. The record is from RNAcentral.
UACAGAGGGUGCAAGCGUUAAUCGGAGUGACUGGGCGUAAAGGGCGCGUAGGCGGUUAGAUUAGUCUGAUGUGAAAGACCUGGGCUUAACCUGGGAUGUGCAUUGGAAACGGUCUAGCUAGAGUUUGGGAGAGGGAAGUGGAAUUUCCGGAGUAGCGGUGAAAUGCGUAGAGAUCGGAAAGAACACUCGUGGCGAAGGCGACUUUCUGGCCCAAAACUGACGCUGAGGCGCGAAAGCGUGGGGAGCAAACAGG